CCUACGGGAGGCAGCAGUGGGGGAUAUUGCACAAUGGGGGGAACCCUGAUGCAGCGACGCCGCGUGGGUGAAGAAGCGCCUCGGCGCGUAAAGCCCUGUCAGCAGGGAAGAAAAUGACGGUACCUGAAGAAGAAGCCCCGGCUAACUACGUGCCAGCAGCCGCGGUAAUACGUAGGGGGCAAGCGUUAUCCGGAUUUACUGGGUGUAAAGGGGGCGCAGACGGCGAUGCAAGCCAGGAGUGAAAGCCCGGGGCCCAACCCAGGGACUGCUCUUGGAACUGCGUGGCUGGAGUGCAGGAGGGGCAGGGGGAAGUCUGGGGGUAGCGGGGAAAUGCGGAGAGAUCAGGAGGA
Molecule: ribosomal RNA, 350 nt
Filed under: uncultured bacterium
Lineage: Bacteria
Description: partial 16S ribosomal RNA
Rfam family: Bacterial small subunit ribosomal RNA
Source: RNAcentral